This 279-nucleotide ribosomal RNA is filed under the name uncultured bacterium. Its description in RNAcentral is "partial 16S ribosomal RNA". It matches the Rfam family "Bacterial small subunit ribosomal RNA", at positions 506 to 784 of the family's 1533-position model. The record is from RNAcentral.
UGCCAGCCGCCGCGGUAAUAUGGAGGGGGUUAGCGUUGUUCGGAAUUACUGGGCGUAAAGCGCACGUAGGCGGAUUAGAAAGUUGGGGGUGAAAUCCCAGGGCUCAACCCUGGAACUGCCUCCAAAACUACUAGUCUUGAGUUCGAGAGAGGUGAGUGGAAUUCCGAGUGUAGAGGUGAAAUUCGUAGAUAUUCGGAGGAACACCGGUGGCGAAGGCGGCUUCCUGGACACUAACUGACGCUGAGACGCGAAAGCGUGGGGAGCAAACAGGAUUAGAUA